This is a non-coding RNA of Heterocephalus glaber (naked mole-rat), 5358 nucleotides long. Lineage: Eukaryota; Metazoa; Chordata; Mammalia; Rodentia; Bathyergidae. The record is from RefSeq and is a predicted model, not a curated record.
CACAAAUGUUCCUCUUGCAUUGCAGCUGUUCGGUUGCUCUGCAGGCAGUCAUCUGCACCAGAGCCGAGGAGAGCGGGGCUUCUCUGUCAGCACAGGUGGGGCUUAUGGAGCAGCCUCGGGCACGAAGCCACAGAACUGCAGCUCUUUGCAGAUGCAGCAGCACCCACUCAGAGGUCUUGGGACAGCCCACUGGGCCCUGUGACAUGAGGAGGCCCUCCAGGCUCCACCUACGGGGUGACCGCCCAGCUGAGCUCUAACCACGGCAAGGGCAACAUUCUUACCUCCUCUGUGGGGAGCCCUAGGCUGCGUGAGACCUGGCCAGCCACCUGUCCCGAAGCCCAGGACGACCCACGCCAGCCUGGCCCACAUGCACGCGGGCCUCGCCUCCCCUCUCUGACCCUGCAGACACCCGCAGCCCUGUGCAUCCCUUGUUAGACACCCCCAGGACCCCAAGGUCAGCUGCACUGAAGCACAUGCUGCUCUGCACGAAUGCCAGCCAGAGAAGCCCCCACACCCAACAGGACAGGUGAGCAUCAAGACAAAGAGGAUCUUGUGGUCCUCCUGAUCAGUGUGUAGGGUAUGUGGGACAGGAAGCACUGUUCCAGGGAGAAAUCAAGCAAAGGCAGGAGCCUUAGGGACCUUUGUAGCAGUUGUUGGCUCUGGCCAUCCGAGUUCUCUGGGACCAGCUUGUUCUGGGGAUGCAUAGGCCACUCUGAAUGGACUCUGGGUUCACUGCUCCAACAAGGGCUGUACUGAUCCUGCCUUGGGGCCCUGUUCUGGGGAGGACAGGGGACACUAGCUGGCUUCACCUGAGUGUGGAGGGACAGGGACCCCCACUCCUCACCCCUGUGCACUCAGCUGACCCCUUCCGGCCUCCCAGGAGGUGGCCAGAAUCGGAGGAGGGAAGAGGUACUGCUGACACCUCACUCUGGCCACAGACCAUAGCUAUGGUACAGGGCUGCACCAGCUUCUCUCAGAUGUUGCCCAAUGCUCACAAGGACCAUGAUGGGCAGAAGAGACAUCUGAUACCAGGCAACAUCUUUGCCCUGAUAACAGACAUUUGCUGAUAGAAAAAAUGGAGUUAAUUCCAGGGCCUUGGGUCAUUUCCACAAUGUCUACACUCAAGGUGGAGUCUGGAAACAUGGUAAUGCACACCUGCUUAUGGGGCCCCAGUGACCAGGAGAGCAUCCGCCAGACAGGUCAGCCAUAUACUAUAAAAGCACUUUCCUGUGUGCUGAGCCUGUGCCAUAAGAAAUUGGACUUGGAGUCCUUGCAGACUUGGGUUCAGUGGCCUGGGGAACUGUCACUGGUGGACCAUCCCAGGGACGAUAGGACCCCAUCAUGCCCCCAGUCCCAGGAGAACUGAGUGGGCUGUGUGAAGGGCUCAUAAAGCCUGAGGUCUGUGUGCACACGGAUCUGUGCAGGAGCAGCAGUUGUGUUUAGGACACCUCUCUUCCAUAAUCAGGGGUCUGUCUGCAGUGGGACUUGGCCUAGAACUCAAGGCCCUGAAGCAGGAGGAACACAAGUGGGGGGAGAGAGGCUGAUCGACACUGGGCCUCAGACCUGGCUACGUCCUGCGGUCCACACUCACCACAGCCUGGGGAUGGCACUGCGCUCAGGUACCUCCAGGUCUCCUGGUGUCAGCACUUUGCCUGCUCCUCCCCCGGCCUCCACACACUUCUUCCUGAGAUGCUGCGGGCCCACAGUUGGCCUCCAGCUGGAGCCAGUGGGGAAACAGAGGUAAGCAGAGGCCCCGCUCUGACCCCUGGAAUCAGCAGCUCGCCCUAGGGCACAGGGCUCCCCCCAGUCUCCUUGAUGCCACCAAGAAAGGCGACUAAGAGACACCACUGGGUAGCCCAUUCCCAAGGUUGCGGACCUGAGUUCUAGAGGUUUGCCUGGCCUAUUGUGGCUGGGCUGCAUGGCCAGGACCAGGAUACUGCUACAGCACAGAUCUGUGCCCAGGAGCUGCCCGAUGGCCAACGCCAGCCCUUGUACACAAAACUGUUCAGAAGAUCAGCAUGAAAAAUACUGCACACUAAUCAAAGUGAGGGUGAUCUGUCUAGAGAGAUGGAGCAUGCCGGGAGAAAAAGCUUGCUCGGUGGCUGUGAGAGUCUCCGAGGAAGGCAGCGAUGGCUGAUGAUCUGCCCACGGAAUCAUCCCUUCACCCAUUCAGUCUGCACCAGUCUCCUGUGAGCCCAGCUACCACUCGGGAUGCGUGAUGGCGAGCCCGGGCCGUAGAAGGGGUUCUCCAGGCACGCAGUGGGCUGAGGCCAUGUGUUCAAGACCCCAUCCUCCAAAUGCCCUCUUGGGCUGCCCUCACUCCACGGCUGUGCUGGGAGUGGGGCUCCCUGCAGAUGUCACCUCUCCAUAGGCACCGACUGUGCUGUAUUCUACUCAGGCCCCUGCUGAGCGCUGGGCUGUGCUCUGUCCCAUCUCCAGGCCUGAGGUUGUGAUCUGACUUGGAAACAGGCUCUUGCAGGUGUAAUCAGGUUAGGGUGCAGUCACAGUGGGUUAUGGCGGGCACUUAUCCAGCAUCUAGUGUCUUUAUACGGAGCAAAGAUUUGACAUAGAGCCAGACCGGAAGCUCAGGUAUAGGCGAGAAUGAUGUAGUCUUAAUCAAGGGACGUCUGGAGGCCCAGAAGCUGGAAGAGGCAGAGGGAUCCAUCUCUGGAGGCUGUGGAGGAAGCGUCCUACCAGAACCACACUUUGGGCCCAGGGUUCUGGGUCCCAGGACUUGAGAGAACAGCUUCUCGUGCUUGAGGCCACUGUGUCUGUGCUGUUAUGGUGGCCCCAGGGGACACACAGCUCCACGGAGGGAGCCCUGCUGAAGAUGGCUAGGACUCGUGCUGCUGGAGCCUGCACAUGGGGCUGGGGCUGCAGGGACCCAGCUGGCCACCCAGCUCAGCCUCCCCUGCCCAGCCUUCUCUGCCCCUCUCCCUAACUCUGGCCACACAGCCUUGCACAGCCUAUGGUGUAAGCAGGAGGCACGGCACCCACCCAGCCAGGUAGGGGCACCUGGGAAGCAGGGGCCACCUCAGCACGGGUGGAGAAGGCUGUGCAUGGGGAGAGGCAACACUGCAAGCCGCACCUCCCUCAGGGCACUGCUGUCUGCCAUCUCACUACCUGUCCUGCCUGGAGCCCGGGCCUCCCCACCUAUCUGCUGAACAUGACUGUGUGGUUUACUUCUUCAGCAGUUGAGAGGAGUUGUCACUUAGGAAGAGGCACCAGGAUUGCACAGGGAGGCCCCUGGAGGGCAGCAAGGAACCCUCAAAGUCUCACUCAUUACUUUGUAAGAUGAGGUUCAGCUAUUACAGUGAAGUACCAGAACCUCAGGUGCAUAGCUCCAUGGGUCCUGGCAUCAGUAGAUCCCGAAGCCCCAAGACCAAGGUGGAAUAUCUCUAUCUGUACCCAGAUAUACACUCCAGGCAGGGCCCUUUGUCUCUCCCCUGCCUGUGACCCUUGGUCCUUGCUGCCCAGCCUCUGCCCCCAAGGGACCCUAACUGUGGCAUCUGGAGCCAUAGGCCCCUGCAUGGUGUGUUCAGCAGAUGAGUGGAUGGCUCUGGACUGGCCUGGCUGCUCCUGGGGCCCAAUAUCUGCUCAUCCCAGCUUAGAGAUGGGGCUGGGAGCCCCCACUAUCCCAGCGAGGCUGAAGCUCCUGCAUCUUCCUCCAGGGAGGGCACCUGGGGACAGGGCAGGCCCUGCACUGGGGUACAUGGCCUGGGCCCUCUAGGCUGAGACUGUGCCCUUGUCACUUAAUCUUUCACCCUUCACCCAGCUGGCCCUGUGAGGGGGGGUGGAGAGGCUCUACUAGCCUCAGUGCCACCAGCCGUGGAGGCCCCAGGACCUCCUUAGCAUGGAGAGCGGCCUGGCUGGCCCAGCAGCUACUCACAGGAGCCUCAACAAGGGGACAAGGAAGGACACAGCUUUGUAGCCCUGGGUGGCUUCCCUUUCUGUCCCCAGCCCUGAGGCUGCUUUGAAGUUCCGCUUGCUUUGAGGGCACUAAUCUUGCUCAGCAUGUGGCCCCCUUCUGCCAGCACUGAUCCCGAGACUUGGCUGGCAUCCAGAUGAUGACCAUGGUGGCCUGGCCAGCAGCAGCAGCAGCAGUAGACUAUUGCAUUCCUAAGUUCACAGGCAGCUGUGAUCAAGGGGAUCUGAGAAGACAGAGCUGGCACCAGAGAUGCAGCCUGCUACGGCUUCUCACUGCCCUGAAGUCAGGGGCUAUCUGAGCUGCAGGGGCAUUGGGCUUCUGAAGUCAAUCAGGCUGCUUCUCUGGGAGUGGCAGGGCUGAGGCUCAUGUAACCUGAAGUCCCAAAGUGGCCUGCACACGUCUUUCUGCUUCUCUUGAUGCUGCCAAACACCACCCAGAAAGACUGGCAAAUGUGUAUUCUCACCAGUACCUGUCGAGAGACCUCCAGAAGGAAUUAGAUGAAAAUAAAGUAAACCACAGUUGGACCAGAAGAGCAGCACCUUGCGGUGACUGCAAACCUUUCUGGCCCAACUUGUUUUGUGUUUAGGAAUCUGUUUCACCUUUCACCACCUUUCCCUGGGCACCAUACUCUGUCACAGGUGAGAGCCAUUUCUUCCAUCUGUGCUACACUUACUCUCCCGCUUACCCUGGGUCCACUUAAGUGUUUUUGAUUUAUGAUGGUGGUAAAAGCAGUAUACGUUCAGUAGAACACACACUUGGAAUUUUUGCUCUGUGCUGCUGGGGAUGCCAGGGCACGUUCUGCCCGAGCUACUCCCAGUCUCUGAAUUUCCCUGUUUUCCUGGGAUCGUCCCCUGCUACUGUGUACUUUCUAGGGCACCAGAGCUCCUAGGCAGCCCAGCGUCACAGGGGAAAAGGCAUGCUCCGGUGUGUCAUGCUGGAGCGAGGGCGUUUGGGGUCGGGGCAUCCAGCGCACUUUCUGCCUAGGGCAUCUUCCAUUUUCAAUGAGAACAGCACCCGGCGCGGAGUCAGAUGUGUCAGCUGUUGGUUUCUCAGACUGGGUUUGUGCUCACAGCUUUCUUUCUCUCUUUGACCUGGGUUAAAUAUUUACCUAUGAUUCUUCUUCCUUCUCUCCAACUUUCGCUCUUGGGGUCUACUCUGUAAUCCCUAGGGAAUUUAACUUGGAACACACAGAAGUAAGGCUCCAACUUGUAUUUUCACACAUACAUGGCGAAUUUCCCCAGCACUUCUACUGGUCUGAAAAACUCCCAAUUUGGAAUUCGAUUCUUACAAACAUCACGGUACAUUUCAGAGCCACCUGGUCUGUCUCAUUGGUCAGAAAACAACAGCAACAAGAGCAGACAUUUGUUGGGUUUUAAUUCUGUGCCUAGGACUUUGCUCUGCAUGGCCUUUACCUCACUGCAGCAGGAGGA